Molecule: ribosomal RNA, 2902 nt
Filed under: Escherichia coli
Lineage: Bacteria; Pseudomonadati; Pseudomonadota; Gammaproteobacteria; Enterobacterales; Enterobacteriaceae
Description: 23S ribosomal RNA
Rfam family: Bacterial large subunit ribosomal RNA
Source: RNAcentral
GGUUAAGCGACUAAGCGUACACGGUGGAUGCCCUGGCAGUCAGAGGCGAUGAAGGACGUGCUAAUCUGCGAUAAGCGUCGGUAAGGUGAUAUGAACCGUUAUAACCGGCGAUUUCCGAAUGGGGAAACCCAGUGUGAUUCGUCACACUAUCAUUAACUGAAUCCAUAGGUUAAUGAGGCGAACCGGGGGAACUGAAACAUCUAAGUACCCCGAGGAAAAGAAAUCAACCGAGAUUCCCCCAGUAGCGGCGAGCGAACGGGGAGCAGCCCAGAGCCUGAAUCAGUGUGUGUGUUAGUGGAAGCGUCUGGAAAGGCGCGCGAUACAGGGUGACAGCCCCGUACACAAAAAUGCACAUGCUGUGAGCUCGAUGAGUAGGGCGGGACACGUGGUAUCCUGUCUGAAUAUGGGGGGACCAUCCUCCAAGGCUAAAUACUCCUGACUGACCGAUAGUGAACCAGUACCGUGAGGGAAAGGCGAAAAGAACCCCGGCGAGGGGAGUGAAAAAGAACCUGAAACCGUGUACGUACAAGCAGUGGGAGCACGCUUAGGCGUGUGACUGCGUACCUUUUGUAUAAUGGGUCAGCGACUUAUAUUCUGUAGCAAGGUUAACCGAAUAGGGGAGCCGAAGGGAAACCGAGUCUUAACUGGGCGUUAAGUUGCAGGGUAUAGACCCGAAACCCGGUGAUCUAGCCAUGGGCAGGUUGAAGGUUGGGUAACACUAACUGGAGGACCGAACCGACUAAUGUUGAAAAAUUAGCGGAUGACUUGUGGCUGGGGGUGAAAGGCCAAUCAAACCGGGAGAUAGCUGGUUCUCCCCGAAAGCUAUUUAGGUAGCGCCUCGUGAAUUCAUCUCCGGGGGUAGAGCACUGUUUCGGCAAGGGGGUCAUCCCGACUUACCAACCCGAUGCAAACUGCGAAUACCGGAGAAUGUUAUCACGGGAGACACACGGCGGGUGCUAACGUCCGUCGUGAAGAGGGAAACAACCCAGACCGCCAGCUAAGGUCCCAAAGUCAUGGUUAAGUGGGAAACGAUGUGGGAAGGCCCAGACAGCCAGGAUGUUGGCUUAGAAGCAGCCAUCAUUUAAAGAAAGCGUAAUAGCUCACUGGUCGAGUCGGCCUGCGCGGAAGAUGUAACGGGGCUAAACCAUGCACCGAAGCUGCGGCAGCGACACUAUGUGUUGUUGGGUAGGGGAGCGUUCUGUAAGCCUGUGAAGGUGUACUGUGAGGUAUGCUGGAGGUAUCAGAAGUGCGAAUGCUGACAUAAGUAACGAUAAAGCGGGUGAAAAGCCCGCUCGCCGGAAGACCAAGGGUUCCUGUCCAACGUUAAUCGGGGCAGGGUGAGUCGACCCCUAAGGCGAGGCCGAAAGGCGUAGUCGAUGGGAAACAGGUUAAUAUUCCUGUACUUGGUGUUACUGCGAAGGGGGACGGAGAAGGCUAUGUUGGCCGGGCGACGGUUGUCCCGGUUUAAGCGUGUAGGCUGGUUUUCCAGGCAAAUCCGGAAAAUCAAGGCUGAGGCGUGAUGACGAGGCACUACGGUGCUGAAGCAACAAAUGCCCUGCUUCCAGGAAAAGCCUCUAAGCAUCAGGUAACAUCAAAUCGUACCCCAAACCGACACAGGUGGUCAGGUAGAGAAUACCAAGGCGCUUGAGAGAACUCGGGUGAAGGAACUAGGCAAAAUGGUGCCGUAACUUCGGGAGAAGGCACGCUGAUAUGUAGGUGAAGUCCCUCGCGGAUGGAGCUGAAAUCAGUCGAAGAUACCAGCUGGCUGCAACUGUUUAUUAAAAACACAGCACUGUGCAAACACGAAAGUGGACGUAUACGGUGUGACGCCUGCCCGGUGCCGGAAGGUUAAUUGAUGGGGUCAGCGCAAGCGAAGCUCUUGAUCGAAGCCCCGGUAAACGGCGGCCGUAACUAUAACGGUCCUAAGGUAGCGAAAUUCCUUGUCGGGUAAGUUCCGACCUGCACGAAUGGCGUAAUGAUGGCCAGGCUGUCUCCACCCGAGACUCAGUGAAAUUGAACUCGCUGUGAAGAUGCAGUGUACCCGCGGCAAGACGGAAAGACCCCGUGAACCUUUACUAUAGCUUGACACUGAACAUUGAGCCUUGAUGUGUAGGAUAGGUGGGAGGCUUUGAAGUGUGGACGCCAGUCUGCAUGGAGCCGACCUUGAAAUACCACCCUUUAAUGUUUGAUGUUCUAACGUGGACCCGUAAUCCGGGUUGCGGACAGUGUCUGGUGGGUAGUUUGACUGGGGCGGUCUCCUCCUAAAGAGUAACGGAGGAGCACGAAGGUUGGCUAAUCCUGGUCGGACAUCAGGAGGUUAGUGCAAUGGCAUAAGCCAGCUUGACUGCGAGCGUGACGGCGCGAGCAGGUGCGAAAGCAGGUCAUAGUGAUCCGGUGGUUCUGAAUGGAAGGGCCAUCGCUCAACGGAUAAAAGGUACUCCGGGGAUAACAGGCUGAUACCGCCCAAGAGUUCAUAUCGACGGCGGUGUUUGGCACCUCGAUGUCGGCUCAUCACAUCCUGGGGCUGAAGUAGGUCCCAAGGGUAUGGCUGUUCGCCAUUUAAAGUGGUACGCGAGCUGGGUUUAGAACGUCGUGAGACAGUUCGGUCCCUAUCUGCCGUGGGCGCUGGAGAACUGAGGGGGGCUGCUCCUAGUACGAGAGGACCGGAGUGGACGCAUCACUGGUGUUCGGGUUGUCAUGCCAAUGGCACUGCCCGGUAGCUAAAUGCGGAAGAGAUAAGUGCUGAAAGCAUCUAAGCACGAAACUUGCCCCGAGAUGAGUUCUCCCUGACUCCUUGAGAGUCCUGAAGGAACGUUGAAGACGACGACGUUGAUAGGCCGGGUGUGUAAGCGCAGCGAUGCGUUGAGCUAACCGGUACUAAUGAACCGUGAGGCUUAACCUU